CCUACGGGUGGCAGCAGUGGGGAAUAUUGCGCAAUGGGCGAAAGCCGGAAGCAGCGACGCCGCGUGAGGGAGGAAGGUCUUGGGAGCGGAAACCUCUGGCAGCAGGGAAGAACGGUCACGGGGCUAAUCAGCAGUGAAUUGACGGUACCUGCAAAGGAAGCACCGGCCAACUCCGUGCCAGCAGCCGCGGCAAAACGGAGGGUGCGAGCGUUAAUCGGAAUUACUGGGCGGAAAGCGCUCGGAGGCGGUAUGUCAAGUGAAGGGUGAAAUCCCCGCGCUCAACUUGGGAAGUGCCUUUGAAACUGGCAAACUGGAGUGUGUGAGAGGUUAGUGGAAUUCCCGGUGU
RNAcentral lists this ribosomal RNA (346 nucleotides) under uncultured bacterium. RNAcentral describes it as "partial 16S ribosomal RNA". It matches the Rfam family "Bacterial small subunit ribosomal RNA", at positions 338 to 676 of the family's 1533-position model. The record is from RNAcentral.